Molecule: ribosomal RNA, 253 nt
Filed under: uncultured bacterium
Lineage: Bacteria
Description: partial 16S ribosomal RNA
Rfam family: Bacterial small subunit ribosomal RNA
Source: RNAcentral
UACGUAGGGUGCGAGCGUUGUCCGGAAUUAUUGGGCGUAAAGAGCUUGUAGGCGGUUUGUCGCGUCUGCCGUGAAAAUCCGGGGCUCAACCCCGGACUUGCGGUGGGUACGGGCAGACUAGAGUGUGGUAGGGGAGACUGGAAUUCCUGGUGUAGCGGUGAAAUGCGCAGAUAUCAGGAAGAACACCCGUGGCUAAGGCGGCUCUCUAGUACGGUACUGACGCUGAGACGCGAAAGCGUGGGGAGCGAACAGG